This 71-nucleotide transfer RNA is filed under the name Schleiferilactobacillus harbinensis. RNAcentral describes it as "Lactobacillus harbinensis tRNA-OTHER". It matches the Rfam family "tRNA". From Rfam's summary of the family: Transfer RNA (tRNA) molecules are approximately 80 nucleotides in length. Their secondary structure includes four short double-helical elements and three loops (D, anti-codon, and T loops). The record is from RNAcentral. Lineage: Bacteria; Bacillati; Bacillota; Bacilli; Lactobacillales; Lactobacillaceae.
GCAAUCGUAGCUCAAAGGUAGAGUGCCGACCACUCGGUAGGUAGUUGCGGGUUCGAUUCCCGCCGAUUGCG